CCCCUCCCCGCCUUCUGCGGUGCCUGAGGAGAAGAGCUGGGCGCGCUUCUGUAGAGCCCCGGGGAUGGCUUUGGCUUUUCACAGUCCCGGAGCUUCCCGGCACCCAGGCUCCGGCGGCGAGAUCAGCGGUUUCCGCGGUACGCUAGGCCCGUACCCCUAAUGAGCUCGCAGGCCUCGGGGCUGGUCAAGGACUUGCUGGGCCCCGCUGUGGUUUCCCACCUUUUUCCCUGAAAAGGAGCAAAAAAUCAACGAUAACAAAUAAUCUGAGAUGCUCAGGACUUCCACGUGCUCCUCAGCCACCUCUCCAGCCACGGCCCGAAGCAACUCGUUGUCUCCCCAUCUUUGGCAGCAGCCAGUUCCUAACAGGGCUCCGGCAGCAGCACCUUCAAGGGGCCAAAGGUGUAAAUCCUGGUAGAAGCGCUCAGCAUGGGAUGGCACAGAGGGGCUGUCAGGUUGGGUGGCACGGGGAUGGGCUUUGAUGCUUUUAUUACCCUGAGCCUCAAACUGGGACAGUUUGUCUCUCUGGCUUGGCACAUGGGUUACUACUGCUCUGGCUGGUGAGGUUUAACACAAGUAGAUUUUAAGCUGAGCCCAAAUCCUCUGCUAAAAAGCACUGAUAAUUGACAGCUAGAUGAUGCCAGAGUAGAAGUGCUGCAGGCAACAAAAGCAUGGUAACCAGCCCUGAACUGACUUAAAGAACAGCUGGAGAAAGGAAAAUGUUAGUGGUUUAACACAUGACCAGGGAAGGGGUGAUUGACACUUUAUUCCCAAACAUCUAAAGCAGAUAAAAGCGAGGAACGGAUGUCGUCUGCCAUGAUUGCCGGAGCAGGGCUUUUGCCUCUGAGCCCUAUGGGACAACAGACCUUUCAUGUUUGCAUAAUGUGAUCCAGGAGUUGACCUUUCUUUGAGAUCCUAAUAUGAGUCACAGAGCAAAUUCUCUGAUUUGGCCUGAGAUUGCCAAGUAUCGGAAGGGGAUUUCCUAAAUUAUGUGCUUGGAUCUGGAGUCAAAUAGCCACUUGGCAAAGGCUAAGUAAAAUGGAGUGUCUCCUGGUGUGAUAUGUUCAAAACAGUGUAAUUUCUUAACUGGCCUUCCCUUUCUCCCCUCAACACCUUCCCCCCCCCCGUUCCUAUCAUGGAAAUUUUCUUGGCAAAUGACUUCCAUUUCCUUUUGAUUUAUUUAGGCACCAGCCCUGUGAAUUUGGCAGCUGGCCUGGUACAAGCAGGGCUGAUGCCAAACUCAGAGCUGUGUCAUCUGUCAGAGCAAUUUGUUCUCAGGAAUGGAAGGAGAAGUUAUUUUCCAGCAGGAGCGGGUUGGCUGUGGUCACAGGAGCACACUGAAGCCUGUAGCAGCAGGGAACAGGAUUUAUCCUGGUGUGAUCCUCACACCAGCAGGGAGCUUGCAUCAGGAAUACACAGGGACCAUGAGAUGACAAGACCCAGAAAAACUAGUGAAGAAAACUCUCUCUGUGCACAGCAAUUGUACAAAGCAUUGGGAAGCACACAGAGAAAACCUGCUGGAAGAAAAUGGCACAGUAUCUGAGUUUUGUAAGGAGAAAUGUAACUGAAAUAGCCAUAGGCUGGAAGUGACUGGCUGCAAAUGGAAAAAAUCUGCUACACAUGUCCAGCUGAAACGCAGAGCCUGAGCA
This is a long non-coding RNA of Corapipo altera (White-ruffed manakin), 1646 nucleotides long. RefSeq lists it as uncharacterized. The transcript has 4 exons. Lineage: Eukaryota; Metazoa; Chordata; Aves; Passeriformes; Pipridae. The record is from RefSeq and is a predicted model, not a curated record.